CAACCCCUCAGGCCCCCCUCCCGGGGGCGGGCCUGGUGUUGGGCGUCGGCCGCCUCCCCGCGGCCGUGCCCCAAAUGCAGUGGCGGCCUCGCCGCGACCCCUUGCGUAGUACUGUACCUCGCACCGGAGCGCGACGCGGCCACGCCGUGAAACCCCCCAUUUUUCU
This 166-nucleotide unclassified non-coding RNA is filed under the name Chlamydocillium cyanophilum. Its description in RNAcentral is "partial internal transcribed spacer 2". The record is from RNAcentral. Lineage: Eukaryota; Fungi; Ascomycota; Sordariomycetes; Hypocreales.